RNAcentral lists this ribosomal RNA (251 nucleotides) under uncultured prokaryote. RNAcentral's name for it is "partial 16S rRNA". It matches the Rfam family "Bacterial small subunit ribosomal RNA", at positions 525 to 775 of the family's 1533-position model. The record is from RNAcentral.
ACGUAGGGUGCAAGCGUUAAUCGGAAUUACUGGGCGUAAAGCGUGCGCAGGCGGUUCGGUAAGAAGGGUGUGAAAUCCCAGGGCUCAACCUUGGAACUGCAUUUGUAACUACCGAACUAGAGUAUGUCAGAGGGGGGUGGAAUUCCCGGUGUAGCGGUGAAAUGCGUAGAUAUCCGGAGGAACACCAGAGGCGAAGGCGGCUCUCUGGGAUAAUCCUGACACUGAGGCACGAAAGCGAGGGUAGCAAACAG